This 253-nucleotide ribosomal RNA is filed under the name uncultured prokaryote. RNAcentral's name for it is "partial 16S ribosomal RNA". It matches the Rfam family "Bacterial small subunit ribosomal RNA", at positions 525 to 777 of the family's 1533-position model. The record is from RNAcentral.
ACGAAGGGGGCGAGCGUUGUUCGGAUUUACUGGGCGUAAAGCGCACGUAGGCGGCUUUGUAAGUCAGAGGUGAAAGCCCGGAGCUUAACUCCGGAAUAGCCUUUGAGACUGCAUCGCUUGAAUCCAGGAGAGGUGAGUGGAAUUCCGAGUGUAGAGGUGAAAUUCGUAGAUAUUCGGAAGAACACCAGUGGCGAAGGCGGCUCACUGGACUGGUAUUGACGCUGAGGUGCGAAAGCGUGGGGAGCAAACAGGA